GACGAACGCUGGCGGCGUGCCUAAUACAUGCAAGUAGAACGCUGAAGAGAGGAGCUUGCUCUUCUUGGAUGAGUUGCGAACGGGUGAGUAACGCGUAGGUAACCUGCCUGGUAGCGGGGGAUAACUAUUGGAAACGAUAGCUAAUACCGCAUAAAAUUGAUUAUUGCAUGAUAAUUAAUUGAAAGAUGCAACUGCAUCACUACCAGAUGGACCUGCGUUGUAUUAGCUAGUUGGUGAGGUAACGGCUCACCAAGGCGACGAUACAUAGCCGACCUGAGAGGGUGGUCAGCCACACUGGGACUGAGACACGGCCCAGACUCCUACGGGAGGCAGCAGUAGGGAAACGUCGGCAAUGGGGGGAACACUGACCGAGCAACGCCGCGUGAGUGAAGAAGGAUUUCGGAUCGUAAAGCUCUGUUGUAAGAGAAGAACGGGUGUGAGAGUGGAAAGUUCACACUGUGACGGUAUCUUACCAGAAAGGGACGGCUAACUACGUG
Molecule: ribosomal RNA, 497 nt
Filed under: uncultured bacterium
Lineage: Bacteria
Description: partial 16S ribosomal RNA
Rfam family: Bacterial small subunit ribosomal RNA
Source: RNAcentral